RNAcentral lists this ribosomal RNA (253 nucleotides) under uncultured bacterium. Its description in RNAcentral is "partial 16S ribosomal RNA". It matches the Rfam family "Bacterial small subunit ribosomal RNA", at positions 524 to 776 of the family's 1533-position model. The record is from RNAcentral.
UACGGAGGGUGCGAGCGUUAAUCGGAAUUACUGGGCGUAAAGCGUGCGCAGGCGGUUUUGUAAGCCAGGUGUGAAAGCCCCGGGCUUAACCUGGGAAUGGCAUUUGGGACUGCAAGGCUUGAGUGCGGCAGAGGAGACUGGAAUUCCUGGUGUAGCAGUGAAAUGCGUAGAUAUCAGGAGGAAUACCGAUGGCGAAGGCAGGUCUCUGGGCUGACACUGACGCUCAUGCACGAAAGCGUGGGGAGCAAACAGG